UCCUGUGGAUCCUGUGGGUUGCAGGGUGGGUCCUACCUAGACCAGGCUGAUCCUGGACCAUCCCACAGAUGCUCCAUCAGAUGUGGAUGUGGGGAGUGUGGAACCCAGAUGUUCAGAGGGAGAUGAUGCCACAUCUGGUCCAGCUGAUGGAAGGUCUUGAAGUUCUCUGACUGGCCUCGACUGAAGAUGGUCGUCUCACUGGAUUUAAGAGAUGCACAAUGAGGGACGUCUGCAGAGACUGAGAAAGAGUCUCACCACAUCCUGACAUGAGGAAAAAGACUUUAUUGAAGACUGCAAUGAGAAAAACUAUCAGACAGCAGACGGCUGCAUUCAAGGUGAGCUCUGAACAUUUGAUCUGGAACAGGAAUUCAAUAACGGCAGCAUGAGCUUCAUUUCAGUCUGUAGCUGCUGAAUUCAUGGAUGAAUCAUCUGGCACUAGAGAAGAACACCAUCAAACAUCCACGUCAGCUGAUGGAGGUCCAAGAGUCUCACCCAACAAACAACCUACAGAGUGAAGACCUCAGCUCUGAUUGGACGGCCUCCUAUUCAGCCACAUUUUAGGCUGUUAGAUUGUUCCAGAUAAGACGAGUACAAGAUUCUUCAGAGCCGUUCUACCACGAGCCUGACAGGAAGAACUCCAACAGCUACUGAAUGUUCCUGUGGUCCCCUCAAGGCUACAGGAGGAGCCCUACAAGGACGAGCCGGUCCACCUGAUGGCGGCCAGUCGCUGCGGUUCAAAGCCAACACCGACUACGUGGACUUCUACUGGACCACACGGAGGCCUUCAAACCGG
Amphiprion ocellaris (clown anemonefish) is the source of this 793-nucleotide long non-coding RNA. The record is from Ensembl. Lineage: Eukaryota; Metazoa; Chordata; Actinopteri; Pomacentridae.